RNAcentral lists this ribosomal RNA (274 nucleotides) under uncultured bacterium. RNAcentral's name for it is "partial 16S ribosomal RNA". It matches the Rfam family "Bacterial small subunit ribosomal RNA", at positions 523 to 796 of the family's 1533-position model. The record is from RNAcentral.
CUACGGAGGGUGCAAGCGUUGUCCGGAUUUAUUGGGUUUAAAGGGUGCGUAGGUGGUUUAUUAAGUCAGUGGUGAAAUCCUGCAGCUUAACUGUGGAACUGCCAUUGAUACUGGUAAACUUGAGUACUAUUGAGGCAGGCGGAAUUUAUGGUGUAGCGGUGAAAUGCAUAGAUACCAUAAAGAACACCGAUAGCGAAGGCAGCUUGCUUAGCAGUAACUGACACUGAUGCACGAAAGCGUGGGUAGCGAACAGGAUUAGAAACCCUAGUAGUCC